This 393-nucleotide ribosomal RNA is filed under the name uncultured bacterium. RNAcentral's name for it is "partial 16S ribosomal RNA". It matches the Rfam family "Bacterial small subunit ribosomal RNA", at positions 523 to 918 of the family's 1533-position model. The record is from RNAcentral.
AUACGGAAGGUCCGGGCGUUAUCCGGAUUUAUUGGGUUUAAAGGGAGCGCAGGCGGAGAUGCAAGCGUGACGUCAAAUUUCGGGGCUCAACCCCGUCUCGCGUCGCGAACUGCGUCCCUUGGUUGCGGGAAGGGGAGGCGGAACUCGUGGUGUAGCGGUGAAAUGCAUAGAUAUCACGAAGAACUCCGAUCGCGAAGGCAGCCUUCCAGCCCGUCAACGACGCUCAUGCUCGAAGGUGCGGGUAUCAAACAGGAUUAGAUUCCCUGGUAGUCCACACAGUAAACGAUGGACACCCGCGGUUUGGCCUGUAUGGCUGAGCCGCCAAGCGAAAGCAUUAUGUGUCCCCCCUGGGGACUACGCCGGCAACGGUGAAACUCAAAUGAAUUGACGGGG